This is a small nuclear RNA of Tupaia belangeri (northern tree shrew), 103 nucleotides long. NCBI's taxonomy places the organism in Eukaryota, Metazoa, Chordata, Mammalia, Scandentia, Tupaiidae. The record is from Ensembl.
UCACUUCUGCAUUGUAUAUACUAAAAUUGGAACAAUACAGAGAAGAUAAGCAUGGCUCCUGUGCAAGGAUGACACACAAAUUCGAGAAGCAUUCCAUAUUUAA